RNAcentral lists this ribosomal RNA (303 nucleotides) under uncultured bacterium. Its description in RNAcentral is "partial 16S ribosomal RNA". It matches the Rfam family "Bacterial small subunit ribosomal RNA", at positions 507 to 807 of the family's 1533-position model. The record is from RNAcentral.
AGCAGCCGCCGCGGUAAUACGGAGGGUGCAAGCGUUAUCCGGAUUUAUUGGGUUUAAAGGGUCCGUAGGCGGAUCUGUAAGUCAGUGGUGAAAUCUCACAGCUUAACUGUGAAACUGCCAUUGAUACUGCAGGUCUUGAGUAAAUUUGAAGUGGCUGGAAUAAGUAGUGUAGCGGUGAAAUGCAUAGAUAUUACUUAGAACACCAAUUGCGAAGGCAGGUCACUAAGAUUUAACUGACGCUGAUGGACGAAAGCGUGGGGAGCGAACAGGAUUAGAUACCCCCGUAGUCCCUGUCUCUUAUAC